Molecule: ribosomal RNA, 94 nt
Filed under: Clavicipitaceae sp. 'Festuca pratensis symbiont'
Lineage: Eukaryota; Fungi; Ascomycota
Description: partial 5.8S ribosomal RNA
Rfam family: 5.8S ribosomal RNA
About the family: 5.8S ribosomal RNA (5.8S rRNA) is a component of the large subunit of the eukaryotic ribosome. It is transcribed by RNA polymerase I as part of the 45S precursor that also contains 18S and 28S rRNA. Functionally, it is thought that 5.8S rRNA may be involved in ribosome translocation.
Source: RNAcentral
UAAUGUGAAUUGCAGAAUUCAGUGAAUCAUCGAAUCUUUGAACGCACAUUGCGCCCUCUGGUAUUCCGGGGGGCAUGCCUGUUCGAGCGUCAUA